AGUAAACCAAUCUUUUACUUUUUACCUAUAAUGUUUGAUUCUUCAUCUCAUUAAAAAAAUUAUGAUUAACAUUUUUGUUUUUAUUAGAUGAUAAAACAUGAAUAAUACUUUACGUGUGACUAAUUUUUUUAAUUACUUAGCAAAUUUUCAAAUAAGACCGAUGGUCAAAUGUUGGAUACGAAAACCAAAAGUUUGCCUUAUU
RNAcentral lists this microRNA precursor (202 nucleotides) under Oryza brachyantha (malo sina). RNAcentral's name for it is "MIR812 microRNA precursor family". It matches the Rfam family "MIR812 microRNA precursor family". The record is from Rfam by way of RNAcentral. Lineage: Eukaryota; Viridiplantae; Streptophyta; Magnoliopsida; Poales; Poaceae.